GAUCGUGUGGCCUAAUGGAUAAGGCGUCGGACUUCUAGUGUGUGGAAAGUGAUCCGAAAAUUGCGGGUUCGAUUCCCUCCACGAUUA
Molecule: transfer RNA, 87 nt
Filed under: Daphnia magna
Lineage: Eukaryota; Metazoa; Arthropoda; Branchiopoda; Diplostraca; Daphniidae
Rfam family: tRNA
About the family: Transfer RNA (tRNA) molecules are approximately 80 nucleotides in length. Their secondary structure includes four short double-helical elements and three loops (D, anti-codon, and T loops). Further hydrogen bonds mediate the characteristic L-shaped molecular structure. tRNAs have two regions of fundamental functional importance: the anti-codon, which is responsible for specific mRNA codon recognition, and the 3' end, to which the tRNAs corresponding amino acid is attached (by aminoacyl-tRNA synthetases). tRNAs cope with the degeneracy of the genetic code in two manners: having more than one tRNA (with a specific anti-codon) for a particular amino acid; and 'wobble' base-pairing, i.e. permitting non-standard base-pairing at the 3rd anti-codon position.
Source: Rfam by way of RNAcentral